GGUCCUAUAGCUCAGCUGGUUAGAGCACCUGACUCAUAAUCAGGGGGUCCAUGGUUCGAGCCCAUGUGGGACCA
Flavobacteriaceae bacterium is the source of this 74-nucleotide transfer RNA. It matches the Rfam family "tRNA". Rfam says of the family: Transfer RNA (tRNA) molecules are approximately 80 nucleotides in length. Lineage: Bacteria; Pseudomonadati; Bacteroidota; Flavobacteriia; Flavobacteriales; Flavobacteriaceae. The record is from Rfam.